GCGGAGGCUUUGGCAGCUCGGGACUGAGUGCAAGAAUCAGCAUGAUUCUUCAGAGGCUCUUCAGGUUCUCCUCUGUCAUUCGGUCAGCCGUCUCAGUCCAUUUGCGGAGGAACAUUGGUGUUACAGCAGUGGCAUUUAAUAAGGAACUUGAUCCUAUACAGAAACUCUUUGUGGACAAGAUUAGAGAAUACAAAUCUAAGCGACAGUAAGACCUGUUGAUGCUAGUUCAGAGUAUCAGCAAGAGCUGGAGAGGGAGCUUUUUAAGCUCAAGCAAAUGUUUGGUAAUGCAGACAUGAAUACAUUUCCCACCUUCAAAUUUGAAGAUCCCAAAUUUGAAGUCAUCGAAAAACCCCAGGCCUGAAGAAAUAAAGUAAAAUUAAUCUGGUAAUUUGUCACGGAUUAGUUGUACAACUAGUUAGAAGUUUCAGAAUAAACAUGCAUUUCAUAACUGU
RNAcentral lists this long non-coding RNA (452 nucleotides) under Homo sapiens (human). RNAcentral's name for it is "HSALNT0272117". The record is from RNAcentral. Lineage: Eukaryota; Metazoa; Chordata; Mammalia; Primates; Hominidae.